This 348-nucleotide long non-coding RNA is filed under the name Mytilus galloprovincialis (Mediterranean mussel). The record is from RNAcentral. Lineage: Eukaryota; Metazoa; Mollusca; Bivalvia; Mytilida; Mytilidae.
CUAGUGUUGACAGUUGGUUACUUGCCAAUAUUUUUUAUACACCUUCCAAAUUCAUUUCUCCAUGUUUUAUGCCUCAAAUUGCAAGAAGGGGGUUAAUAUUACACUGUUAAAAAAUUUGGGUUCAGAAUUUUAAAGGAAAGUAGUGAUUUGGUCCAGCUGAAAAAGGUUAAAAAUUAGCACUUCGGAAGCUGUCAAAAGAUUUCAAGACGCCCUAAACAUAAAAUUGUCCAUAUUUUGAGUUAGAGCAGAUGAAGUUUUCUAUAAUUUUGAUAUAAUUUGUCCCAAAAGUAGUACAACACACUGUAAAAAUUUCAUUGAGAAAGCCCAGGUGGGAUUUUUAAAAUUUUC